UGACUGAGUCUUGACUUUGGAAAGUGGCU
RNAcentral lists this non-coding RNA (29 nucleotides) under Rattus norvegicus (Norway rat). The record is from RNAcentral. Lineage: Eukaryota; Metazoa; Chordata; Mammalia; Rodentia; Muridae.